Molecule: long non-coding RNA, 995 nt
Organism: Herpailurus yagouaroundi (jaguarundi)
Lineage: Eukaryota; Metazoa; Chordata; Mammalia; Carnivora; Felidae
Exons: 3
Source: RefSeq, a predicted model, not a curated record
GGAAACUGGUGUUCACCAACGUCUGGAUCAGCUGCCUUCUCCAGAGAAGGGCUCCCCCCCCCCCCGGCCCCCCCCCCCCCCCCCCCCUUGCAGCUGGGCAGGGCCACGUGGCUAGCUCUGGCCGCUGGGUAGGAGCAGAAGGGACCACGCCCACUUCUGGGCAAAGAGAGGUGAGGGGGUAUGACUUCUCCAAGCCCUGUCUGUCCCCCAGAUGUUCCCUGGGCUGGGCCUGGGUCAGCCUGGACCCCUGUGUGCAGAAGGCUUUCCCCCACCCAGCCCGCCCCCUAACUAGCGCUGGAGAGCCUUCAGUGGUCAGCCACGGAGAUGUCAGGGACAUCUUACUACUGUAGCAUUGCCUGGCCUUUUCUAAUACAUUAAAGGACGUAUGUGUGCUUUGGUGGCUUGGUGCAAAGGGGCCCUUUGCCCUGCAGAAGCGGUCAGAAAAUGAUCUCCUACGGAUAAGAUUGAACCUUUUGGUGCCUGUCCAUCUGCGUCUAUGCAAGAUCUGGGUCACGUCCCUCUCUUUCAUUUCCCCAGAUGUGUCUGUCGCUCUCACUAAGCAAAUCCUAACGUGUGGCGAACCAAAGGGCACAGCAGGUACCAUGGUGUAUGUGCACCCAAACCCCUUGAGAGCUGGAGAGAAGCCACCCCCCACCAAAGGCAGCUGUCCGGAUGACGCUUGUCCUCCCCCACCUCCACACCACCUCUGCAUGCUCCAGCUCCAGAGGGACACCUCUGUUCCCUCAACGGGCCAGGAUCUUUUCCAUUGUUGAGACUGCACAGCCGGCUCCCCUCUGUCUGUGCUGUGCUGCAGACUGAAUGCUUCUGGCCCGCCCAGACUCACAUGUUGAAAGCCCACCCCCAAGGCAAUGGCCUUAGAAGGUGGGGCCUUUGGGAGGUGAUUAGGUCAUUAAGGUGGAGCCUCCUGAAUGGGGAUGAGUGCCUUGCUUUUUUGUUUGUUUUAAUGUUCAUUAAAUAUUUAUUUUUGAGAGAAA